This 592-nucleotide ribosomal RNA is filed under the name Tremellodendron sp. Its description in RNAcentral is "eukaryotic LSU rRNA". It matches the Rfam family "Eukaryotic large subunit ribosomal RNA", at positions 53 to 629 of the family's 3401-position model. Lineage: Eukaryota; Fungi; Basidiomycota; Agaricomycetes; Sebacinales; Sebacinaceae. The record is from RNAcentral.
GAGGAAAAGAAACUAACAAGGAUUCCCCUAGUAACGGCGAGUGAAGAGGGAAGAGCUCAAAUUUUGAAUCUGGCGUCUUCGACGUCCGAGUUGUAAUCUAGAGAAGUGUUUUCUGUGAUGGACUGUGCAUAAGUCUCCUGGAAUGGAGUGUCAUAGAGGGUGAGAAUCCCGUAUAUGGCACGGACUCCCAUUGCUCUGUGAUACACUCUCGACGAGUCGAGUUGUUUGGGAAUGCAGCUCCAAAUGGGUGGUAAAUGCCAUCUAAAGCUAAAUAUUGGCGAGAGACCGAUAGUGAACAAGUACCGUGAGGGAAAGAUGAAAAGCACUUUGGAAAGAGAGUGAAACAGUACGUGAAAUUGUUGAAAGGGAAACGCUUGAAGUCAGUCGCACCGUUUGGGAUUCAGCCUUGCUUCUGCUUGGUGUACUUCCCAUUGGGUGGGUCAACAUCAGUUUUGGUUGGAGGAAAAAGGCUUGGGGAAGGUAGCAGCCUUUGUGCUGUGUUUAUASCCCCCUGUUUAUACUUCGACUGGGACUGAGGACUGCAGCAUGCCUCAUGGCUGGGGUUUGCCCACAUACAUGCUUAGGAUGUUGC